RNAcentral lists this ribosomal RNA (253 nucleotides) under uncultured bacterium. Its description in RNAcentral is "partial 16S ribosomal RNA". It matches the Rfam family "Bacterial small subunit ribosomal RNA", at positions 524 to 776 of the family's 1533-position model. The record is from RNAcentral.
UACGUAGGUGGCAAGCGUUGUCCGGAUUUACUGGGCGUAAAGGGCGUGCAGGCGGUUUGUUAAGUCUAGGGUGAAAGCUCCCGGCUCAACCGGGAGAGGUCCUUGGAUACUGGCGAACUUGAGGGAUGCAGAGGAAAGUGGAAUUCCCGGUGUAGUGGUGAUAUGCGUAGAUAUCGGGAGGAACACCAGUGGCGAAGGCGGCUUUCUGGGCAUUUCCUGACGCUGAGACGCGAAAGCGUGGGGAGCGAACCGG